Molecule: RNA transcript, 3033 nt
Organism: Diabrotica virgifera virgifera (western corn rootworm)
Lineage: Eukaryota; Metazoa; Arthropoda; Insecta; Coleoptera; Chrysomelidae
Gene name: inositol-tetrakisphosphate 1-kinase
Exons: 6
Source: RefSeq, a predicted model, not a curated record
GUGUUGUGUUGUGAUAAAAGCCAAACUCAAACCACAAAAUCAACGACCUUCGAUUGUUGACAUGGUGGUGGUCGUAUAAUAAAAAAAAGCGUGGUAUUAAUCCUUGUUUUGUAGGUAGUAUUUGAUAAUAAAUAAUAUAAAAUGCCUUCCAAUAAAAGAAUAGCCUUCUGGGUAUCCGAGAAGAAAUUACAGAAGCUAAAUUGGCAGGAACUAGAGACAAUAAGUAAAAAAUUUGGUUUUGAGGUGUUCAAAUUGAGUCUGAAAAAAAGUUUGGAAUCACAAGGACCUUUCUGUGUGUUAGUACAUAAAAUGACGGAUAUUAUUGCAUCUGCAAAUAUGGGUGAUAUUAGGUGUGGUAAUCUUAUUCAAGAAGUUGAAAAUUAUAUUUCUCAAAAUCCAUCUCUGGUUGUGAUAGAUCCAAUAGCAAAUGUCAGAAAAUUAAUUGAUAGGUGUAACUGCUAUAGUAUUAUUCAUUCCACUAAUUUAUCUACCUAUAAUGUAUUUACACCAAAUUUUUGUACAUUAAGGACAGGUGAUAAAGAGUCACUGAAGCAACAAUUAAAAAUGGCCAAAGUAACAUAUCCUUUCAUUUGUAAACCUAUGUUAGGACAUGGAUCAAAAAAGGCACAUGAAAUGUCGAUAAUCUUUAACGAGAAAUAUUUAACAGGGAUUAAGACACCCUGUGUAGCACAAAGUUUUAUAAACCACGACGCAGUUUUAUUUAAAAUAUAUAUAGCAGGCGACAAGCACUAUUACGUCGAGAGGCCUUCGUUAAAAAAUUUCAAAGCUUCGGAGAGGGAGACCAUAUAUUUCGAUACGAGUGAUGUCUCCAAGUCUGAUUCGAAAAGUAGGCUUUGUGUGUUAGAUCCUGAAGAUAUUUUAACGGAAAAACCCAAACCAGAUGAAGAAAUUAUAGCCAUAAUAGCUGCUACUCUAACAAAAGCCUUCGGAAUGGAUCUGUUAGGAGCUGAUGUAGUUAUUGAAAAGUCUACUAGAAAAUAUGCAAUUAUAGACGUUAAUGCAUAUCCAGGUCCCAUUUACGGAUUCCCGGAAAAAAAUUGCGCACAUGGCUUUCUGUGACAACUACUGGUCUACUGGACUGUUUCGAGCAGAGGUGGACAAGGUACGAGUGGCCUUGAAGAUUACUUAUCCGAAACACAUAGGCACCGAAAGAAGAACGAUUUCCGAAGUAGAAAUCGAAAUAAAAUUGUGGCAACGAGUUGAUAAACUAGCCAAGAGGAUAAGCUAAACGAUACUUCGAUCCAGAUCUGGCCUUGAGUACCAAAAAGCACUGUCAGCGACUGAAAAGGGUCCUGAAUCCGAACUCCCAAGUCAAGCACAUGUGCUAAGAGGGCUGAAGCACAGCGAAAAACAAGCAGGAAUCAGCUCAGAUUCAAAAUAUGGCUUUCUUCUCACAGAAGAUCCACCCGUAAAGGGUUACCUGCACAUAAUGCAACUUUUGUAUAGAAACCUAACUGCAGGUGACAUAUAACAUGUUACAUUCAACUUUAUUAUGCCUGCAUAUGAGGCAUUGGAUCGUAGGCAGCAAACACUUUUGGAGACUAUCAAGUGACUUCACAAACGUAUGGUAUGGGUAAAAGUUGGUACAGAAUUCUAGAAUUAUGAAUGAGUUAAUGGGUAUAAUACGUAGGUGAUCCGAUAAGUACUUAACCUCUUCGCUCGAUAGUGCUACUAUCACAUAAAAAUUUAUUAUCGUAGAAUACAUUGAGGACGGCCUCAGUCGAAUCAGACUCGUAGUUUUGUUUUGACCGCGUGUGGAAGCGAGUGUGUCUGCGGAUUUUAGAAAAAUGAAAAACCAGCAAUAUCGGUCGGUGAUUUGAUUCUUGUAUUUGGAAGGGAAUUCGCGCAUCAAAAUCAAAUAGCAUUUGAAUGUACGGUAACUCUUUUUCUUUGAUAGCGACCGAUAAAAAUUGGUUUAUCGAGUUUCAAGGUGGUCGCCCGUCGGUUUUUGAUAAGUCACGUCCAGGUACCCCGAAAGCGGCUACAUACCACGAAGGAUAAGAUGAAUAAAAUCCACGAUUACCUAUUGGCAGACCAUCGACUGAAGGUUUGCGAGAAAGCUAAGAUAGUAGGCAUCUCAAAAGAUUGCGUGAAUCAUAUCCUGUAUGAAAUUUUGGGCAUGAGAAAGCUGUCGUCACGAUAUAUGCCGCGUUUUGGCACUCAGGCCAACAAGUGCCACUGUGAGCUGUGAGACACCUUCAGAUCAAUGUCUGAGGCUGUUUAAGCGUAAUAUGAAGGAGUUUCUACGUUGCUUCAUAACCGUCGACGAAACUUGGAUCCACUGGUACUCACCAGAAACCAAGGAACAUUCGCUAUAGUAAAUGCCACCUGCGAACGUGCUCCGGAAAAGGCGAAGACUGUCCUGUCGGCCUGAAAGGUGAUGACCACCGUUUUCUGGGAUUCACAAAGUGUGAGCUAUAUCGGAUUCCUGAAAAUGGCAAAAGGGUCAUAGGGUUUUACUAUGCCGCAUUAUUGCGUCGAUUCGACGCCGACUUGCAAAAAAAACAGCCCCAUUUGUAGAAGAAAUGGGCAAACUGACCGAUUUGGCUACGAACUACUGGAUCAUCCACCGUAUUUUCCAGAUUGUUUGUGUGGUGGUUUCCAGGUGAGUUUUUAAUCUAAGCCUGAAUUAAUUUUUUGUAAUCAUUUUUUCCUAUACCUAACCUUUCAUGUCUACGAGCACAUGGUCAAUUUUAAAUAACUAUUUAUUUCUUUCUAAUUUACAUAUAUCGCCGGCGAUACAAAAACGAGGACAAAAUGAUCCAGACUGCAAUGAAUUUCAUCUAGACUGCAACUAACCAACACCUGUAGGCCUGGUGGCCCAGAACAUCCACGUCGCCAGAGCCAAUUGCAGAACCAACAACAGUACCAUUCGACAUCAAGAAGUUACCAUCGAACCAGAUACCAAAAGCCCAGUAUAAUCCCAAAAGUAUAAUCCAAGAAUUGUUAGUUUUUGGCAAGAAUUUGAAUAUAUUUGUUAAUGCAUUUAAUAAGUCACAUUUUUAUUACAUC